Molecule: unclassified non-coding RNA, 240 nt
Filed under: soil metagenome
Description: partial contains 5.8S ribosomal RNA, internal transcribed spacer 2, and large subunit ribosomal RNA
Source: RNAcentral
AACCUAGCACACCUGCGGCCUACCUAGAAUGUGGCUGAUUGUAAACUAACCCUUAACUGCAAGAACAUUUCUUACAUCUCCCAAACAUCCCUCACAGUAAAAACCUUAAAAUCUAAGCUGGUAUGUCCUACUCCCCAUCCUCCUCCCCACAACAAAACACCAGUGCAGGCCAACUUGUUCAGUGGAGCCCCGGGACAAAGCAAAUGGAAGUCCUGGGUGCUUCUGACGCACACCUAUUGC